CUUGCUCUCUGAUUUAGCGGCGGACGGGUGAGUAAUGCCUAGGAAUCUGCCUGGUAGUGGGGGAUAACGUUCCGAAAGGAACGCUAAUACCGCAUACGUCCUACGGGAGAAAGCAGGGGACCUUCGGGCCUUGCGCUAUCAGAUGAGCCUAGGUCGGAUUAGCUAGUUGGUGAGGUAAUGGCUCACCAAGGCGACGAUCCGUAACUGGUCUGAGAGGAUGAUCAGUCACACUGGAACUGAGACACGGUCCAGACUCCUACGGGAGGCAGCAGUGGGGAAUAUUGGACAAUGGGCGAAAGCCUGAUCCAGCCAUGCCGCGUGUGUGAAGAAGGUCUUCGGAUUGUAAAGCACUUUAAGUUGGGAGGAAGGGCAUUAACCUAAUACGUUAGUGUUUUGACGUUACCAACAGAAUAAGCACCGGCUAACUUCGUGCCAGCAGCCGCGGUAAUACGAAGGGUGCAAGCGUUAAUCGGAAUUACUGGGCGUAAAGCGCGCGUAGGUGGUUCGUUAAGUUGGAUGUGAAAGCCCCGGGCUCAACCUGGGAACUGCAUCCAAAACUGGCGAGCUAGAGUACGGUAGAGGGUAGUGGAAUUUCCUGUGUAGCGGUGAAAUGCGUAGAUAUAGGAAGGAACACCAGUGGCGAAGGCGACUACCUGGACUGAUACUGACACUGAGGUGCGAAAGCGUGGGGGAGCAAACAGGAUUAGAUACCCCUGGUAGUCCACGCCGUAAACGAUGUCAACUAGCCCGUUGGAAUCCUUGAGAUUUUUA
Molecule: ribosomal RNA, 771 nt
Filed under: Ectopseudomonas mendocina
Lineage: Bacteria; Pseudomonadati; Pseudomonadota; Gammaproteobacteria; Pseudomonadales; Pseudomonadaceae
Description: bacterial SSU rRNA
Rfam family: Bacterial small subunit ribosomal RNA
Source: RNAcentral